RNAcentral lists this long non-coding RNA (1080 nucleotides) under Vigna radiata. RNAcentral's name for it is "long non-coding RNA (VRAD_LNC006720)". Lineage: Eukaryota; Viridiplantae; Streptophyta; Magnoliopsida; Fabales; Fabaceae. The record is from RNAcentral.
GGUGGUAAUUUUCCUUACCACUUUUCUUGCUUACCUUCCUGAUUUCUCCUAGUGACUUCUGAUCUUUGUCCUAAAUUUUUCACUUUCAAGAUUUUCCUCACUCAAAUGCACAAGCACACAAAAAAUGAAUUAAGAUAGAAUGUGGAAAACAAAAACAAACACAGAAAUUCACAAGUAUGUACAACAAUUGGGAUAGUCCCCAUAAAUACCCAUCAGUAGGUGUUCAAUUUAUUCAUGCUUGGUAUUUUCUUCUUCUUCUUCUUUAUGCUAAAUUUCUUCAAAAAGUUGAUCGGACCAAGCAUAUGUUUCCAGGCAUCAAUCAUAGGAGCCUUAAUCUNCAAUUUCUCGAAGAUUUCCAUGAAGUACUUGAACCUAUUUUCCUUCCUAUGAUUUUUCUUUUUAUGAGGAAGGGGCUUUUCAUAUGACCUUUUCUUCUUUCCUCUCUUCCUCUUUUUCUUGAUUUUCUUCUCCCUUAACUUUCUCUUUUUCUUUUUCUUUUCUUUCUUUAUUUUCACAUUUUUCUUCUUUUUUUCUUUUCUUUCAACCACUGCUUUUCCUUUCUCAUCAUCCUUCUUACUCUCAUUCAACUUUUCUGUUUCCUCUAUCUUUUCUACAGCAACAACUUUCUCUGUUUUUAUUUCUUCUUCAUAUACCUCUAUCUCUUCUUCUUCUUCUUCUAUCUUUUCUUCCUCGACAACCUUAUCAUUUUUAGAGAUAGUGGUUUGGUAUUCUUCUUUAGGGUUAACUUCAGUAUUAUCCCUAAUAAUGCCCAGAGACUUCAAUACCUUUGUUAUCUCAUCUUCCUCUAUCUUCUCUUCAUCAAUACCCUUGUCAUCCUCAAAGAUAGUGGCUUGGCAUUCUUCUUUACGGUUAACUUCAGUAUUAACCCUAAUAAUACCCAGAGACUUCAAUGCAUAAGAGUGUUGUUCAUGCAAUAAACGUUCUUUGGCUUCCCUCAACGUUUCUUUUCGUGAAGAGAAUAAUUUCUGUUGUAAACGUUGUUUAGCUUCCCCCAACGUUUCUUUUGGCCUAGAGGAAUAUUGCACAUUGUCAUGAUAUACGUUUGAAUGAGGUUUCCCC